RNAcentral lists this transfer RNA (72 nucleotides) under Bos taurus (domestic cattle). It matches the Rfam family "tRNA". From Rfam's summary of the family: Transfer RNA (tRNA) molecules are approximately 80 nucleotides in length. Their secondary structure includes four short double-helical elements and three loops (D, anti-codon, and T loops). Lineage: Eukaryota; Metazoa; Chordata; Mammalia; Artiodactyla; Bovidae. The record is from Rfam by way of RNAcentral. RNAcentral also lists the same sequence under 2 other names.
UCUCUCAUGGCUCAGUCGGUAAAGAAUCUGCCUGUAAUGCAGGAGACCCGGGUUUGAUUCCUGGGUGGGGAA